GAAAACUUCUGCUUAUUUGCAGCUAUUUCUGGGCCACAGCAGCACUCCAAUAGAGCGCUUUGGCAGCAGCCUCUGUUGUGGUCAGCACUCUUUCUGCAGCUGGGAUUUCUUAAAAGAAGUGAGAAGCAUUUGCCUUCUAGUGUUCCAACAACAAAACAAGCAAAACUUCCAUGGGAAUGAGAUGGUCAUGGAGUUUCAACCCUCUCUUUCCUUCCCUUCCUGCAUGUGAUCAGGGAGGUCAAAGCCACUGGCGCACAUUUCAGCAAGUAUGUCACUCACAGCACAGCUAAUACACAGAAACAAUCCAAACCACAAGGCCCUAAAACAGAUGGUGGGAAACUUCACCCAUUAAAGUGACUGCAGGACUAAUAACUUGGGUGUUUCAAGUUGGAAGACUUGUCACAAGUUAAGACUGUACCCCUUAAGCAGAGAUAUGCCUCAGCGUGGGUAUCCGUAUGUAUGUAUAUCUGGUAGGGAGUGAUUCAGUGACAGAAUUUACCCAAGGACAAUAAGACCAAGAAAUAAAUAAACAACCAUCUAUCUUUGCCUUAACUAUAGCCAAAAAAAAGCAAAGCCAAGCAACAACCAAAACACAACAUUGUAAAUCAACUAUACUUCAAUACAACUAGAAAAAAUGCAAUAAAAAAAAACAAUCAUUUGGCAAAGCAAUAAUUUCUGAAUUGGAAAUCAGAAAAAAAGACAAAUACCAUAUUAUAUCACUUGUAUGUGGAAUCUAAAGUAUGGCACAGAUGAACCACCUACAGAACAGAAACAGAUUCACAGAGAACAGACCUGUGGUUGUCAAGGGAGAGGGGAAGAAGUGGGAUGGACAGGGAGUUUGGGUUGGUAGAUGCCAACUAUGACAUUUAGAAUGGAUAAGCAGUGAGGUUCUGCUGUAUAGCACAGGGAAAUAUAUCCAGUCUUUUGGGAUAGAAUAUGAUAGAAGAUAAUAUGUGAAAAAGAAUGUGUAUAUAUAUAUAUAUAUAUAUAUAUAUAUAUAUGUGUGUGUGUGUGUGUGUGUGUGUGUAUAACUGGGUCACUUUGCUAUACAGCAGAAAUUGAAAGAACACUAUAAAUCAACUAUAAUUUUAAAAAUUAAAAAAAUCAACUUAAAUAUAAAAAAAUGCUGUGAGAGUUAAAAAAUGGGAUUAGUAAAAUGUAGACCACUGACAAUUUAAUCUAAUAGCUCAAGAUGUUGCCAUCUUCUAAUAACCCUCAAACAACAAAACAACCAAAGAAACUUCAUUGCGUCACCAUAAGUUUAGGCAAUUUUCAUGCUGCAAUUAGAUAAAUGGAAAAGCCUAUGAGAAAUGUCUUGAAGUUGAAAUGACAGGCCGCGAGCUUUUUGUUUCUUCUUUAGAAAAUUAAUCUUUUAUUAAUGAUAUAUUAAUGUGAACCUAAAAAACUUUUUUCAGUGUCAACCUCGUAUUACAAACAUCUGUCUUUACUUUGUGGAAGUGGUGACAUUACCACCAUUAAGUGUACUCCAAAGAAGGUCAAACACUUCCACUUUUGAUGAGCAACAGUUUUCAAAACUCACAUUAGGCAAAAGCAUUUCUCACAAGAAAAACAUGCUGUUAACUUUGACAAAGGGCUGUUUGUGAGGUUGCCUCCUGUUUGAAUUGCCCCAUAGUAAGACAGAUGCUGGAAAGGGAAGUUGGAGAAUCAUUCUAAUCCAGAUCCACUUUUGGUUACUUCCUCUGCUUGUUUCCAACGCAGCUGCACAAAAUAAAACAAAAAGAGGAAACAGGGACACCCAGGCCGAAUAUUACUGCCUUCAGCAAAAGCCUUUAGAAAACCCUCUCAGGAACCUGUGACAUCACAGAGAUGCGUCAUCUUCCAUAUAGAAUUUUGCUCCCAAAGCAGGAUUUAUGCAAUUUCUUAAUGCAGACAACUAUUGCUGAAACACAACUAGCAUGCAAGGCAAUAACUUAAGAAAAGGGCAACACUCAGGCCAAGUCUUUACAGGAAUUAAAAUGUUAUUAACUCAACCAAUUUUUCUUUGACCAACCAAAUAAACAAUGUGAAGACAUGGUCAGUUUGGGCUCAGAGAAAGAGACUCACUGUAAACUCUGGACUGAAUGUCAGGGCCUUGGUGCCUUAACUCUUCAGUAAGACUAUGGGUGAUCUUCCUACACUUACUUCAUUCCUCCAAAUCUUAGUAUCCUCACGUAAAACAAAGAGAAUUGGACUGGAUGACAUUUACUGUUUCCAGACACCUGUAACUGAUGUUUUAUGAACACAUAAAAAUAACACAUUUAGGUGUAACUCAUUACCUCUACCAAUGCCCAACUAAUACUCCCUCUUUCUCCAGUAAUCCUUCAGUUUAGAAAGCUACCAAUUACCCUGUUUCCAUAGCUAGAAAUCUGUUAGCCAUCCUCUCCUCUUUUAUUUUUCAUAAUACAGUCCUUCCUUAAGUUGUUUGGUACAGUUUCAUUAUCUAUUGUAUUGCGAAAACCUAGUCCUGUAAGUUUAAUAUCUAAAUCUCUUGCUGACCAUCUAUUUUUAUCAGUUUUCUAAAGAUCCAUAGUUCAGAUCUUUCUUCUCUUAUUGAAGCUUUGGCAAGAGUCUUCUAGCUGGUCCUCAGCCAUUAUGUUGCACUGUAUUGCAUCCCUACCUAGCUUUCUCAGAGUCACCUGAGUUUCUUCUUAAAGGUGCAUUCUACACACUCUUUCCUACUUAAAGUCCUUCAGCACCAUUCCCCACAAACAGUCCACGAUACUACAAAAUUUCCUUAUUUUCAAUUAUUUCCUGAAUA
RNAcentral lists this long non-coding RNA (2758 nucleotides) under Sus scrofa (pig). RNAcentral describes it as "lncRNA (ENSSSCG00000047224.1)". Lineage: Eukaryota; Metazoa; Chordata; Mammalia; Artiodactyla; Suidae. The record is from RNAcentral.